UGGGGAAUUUUGGACAAUGGGGGAAACCCUGAUCCAGCCAUCCCGCGUGUGCGAUGAAGGCCUUCGGGUUGUAAAGCACUUUUGGCAGGAAAGAAACGUCAUGGGCUAAUACCCCGUGAAACUGACGGUACCUGCAGAAUAAGCACCGGCUAACUACGUGCCAGCAGCCGCGGUAAUACGUAGGGUGCAAGCGUUAAUCGGAAUUACUGGGCGUAAAGCGUGCGCAGGCGGUUCGGAAAGAAAGAUGUGAAAUCCCAGAGCUCAACUUUGGAACUGCAUUUUUAACUACCGAGCUAGAGUGUGUCAGAGGGAGGUGGAAUUCCGCGUGUCGCAGUGAAAUGCGUAGAUAUGCGGAGGAACACCGAUGGCGAAGGCAGCCUCCUGGGAUAACACUGACGCUCAUGCACGAAAGCGUGGGGAGCAAACAGG
RNAcentral lists this ribosomal RNA (429 nucleotides) under Acidobacteriota bacterium. RNAcentral describes it as "Acidobacteria bacterium partial 16S ribosomal RNA". It matches the Rfam family "Bacterial small subunit ribosomal RNA", at positions 355 to 776 of the family's 1533-position model. The record is from RNAcentral. Lineage: Bacteria; Pseudomonadati; Acidobacteriota.